UGGGCUGUAGCUCAGUGGUAGAGCGCAUGCCUAGCAUGUGUGAGGCACUGGGUUCUAUUCUCAGCACCACAU
RNAcentral lists this transfer RNA (72 nucleotides) under Ictidomys tridecemlineatus (thirteen-lined ground squirrel). RNAcentral's name for it is "Spermophilus tridecemlineatus (thirteen-lined ground squirrel) tRNA". It matches the Rfam family "tRNA". From Rfam's summary of the family: Transfer RNA (tRNA) molecules are approximately 80 nucleotides in length. Their secondary structure includes four short double-helical elements and three loops (D, anti-codon, and T loops). Further hydrogen bonds mediate the characteristic L-shaped molecular structure. tRNAs have two regions of fundamental functional importance: the anti-codon, which is responsible for specific mRNA codon recognition, and the 3' end, to which the tRNAs corresponding amino acid is attached (by aminoacyl-tRNA synthetases). tRNAs cope with the degeneracy of the genetic code in two manners: having more than one tRNA (with a specific anti-codon) for a particular amino acid; and 'wobble' base-pairing, i.e. permitting non-standard base-pairing at the 3rd anti-codon position. Lineage: Eukaryota; Metazoa; Chordata; Mammalia; Rodentia; Sciuridae. The record is from Rfam by way of RNAcentral.